Molecule: ribosomal RNA, 499 nt
Filed under: uncultured bacterium
Lineage: Bacteria
Description: partial 16S ribosomal RNA
Rfam family: Bacterial small subunit ribosomal RNA
Source: RNAcentral
GACGAACGCUGGCGGCGUGCUUAACACAUGCAAGUCGAACGGGCCCGCUCUCUUUUUUGGGGGUGGGUUGAGUGGCGAACGGGUGAGUAUCACGUGAGUAACCUGCCCCCUGCUCCUGGAUAACUGCUUGAAAGGGCGGCUAAUACGGGGUGUGCCGGCUGGUCCGCAUGGGCCUGGUCGGGAUAGUUUCAUCUUCGGGUGUUUCGGUGGGGGAUGGGCUCGCGGCCUAUCAGCUUGUUGGUGGGGUGAUGGCCCACCAAGGCGGUGACGGGUAGCCGGCCUGAGAGGGUGGGCGGCCACACUGGGACUGAGACACGGCCCAGACUCCUGCGGGAGGCAGCAGUGGGGGGUAUUGCACAAUGGGCGGAAGCCUGAUGCAGCGACGUCGCGUGAGGGAUGGAGGCCUUCGGGUUGUGAACCUCUUUCUCCGGUGGUGAAGGCCCUGUCCGUUGCGGCGGGGUUGACGGUAGCCGGGUAUGAAGCGCCAGCUAACUACGUG